Molecule: ribosomal RNA, 465 nt
Filed under: Vreelandella stevensii
Lineage: Bacteria; Pseudomonadati; Pseudomonadota; Gammaproteobacteria; Oceanospirillales; Halomonadaceae
Description: partial 16S ribosomal RNA
Rfam family: Bacterial small subunit ribosomal RNA
Source: RNAcentral
CCUACGGGGGGCUGCAGUGGGGAAUAUUGGACAAUGGGGGGAACCCUGAUCCAGCCAUGCCGCGUGUGUGAAGAAGGCCCUCGGGUUGUAAAGCACUUUCAGUGAGGAAGAACGCCUGGUGGUUAAUACCCAUCAGGAAAGACAUCACUCACAGAAGAAGCACCGGCUAACUCCGUGCCAGCAGCCGCGGUAAUACGGAGGGUGCGAGCGUUAAUCGGAAUUACUGGGCGUAAAGCGCGCGUAGGUGGCUUGAUAAGCCGGUUGUGAAAGCCCCGGGCUCAACCUGGCAACGGCAUCCGGAACUGUCAAGCUAGAGUGCAGGAGAGGAAGGUAGAAUUCCCGGUGUAGCGGUGAAAUGCGUAGAGAUCGGGAGGAAUACCAGUGGCGAAGGCGGCCUUCUGGACUGACACUGACACUGAGGUGCGAAAGCGUGGGUAGCAAACAGGAUUAGAUACCCUAGUAGUC